RNAcentral lists this ribosomal RNA (545 nucleotides) under Nassarius pauperatus. RNAcentral describes it as "partial 12S ribosomal RNA". Lineage: Eukaryota; Metazoa; Mollusca; Gastropoda; Neogastropoda; Nassariidae. The record is from RNAcentral.
AUACCAAGUGAUUAAGUUAUAUCUUUAGGUAAAAAGACAGUUAGGUUUCUAAUAAUUUUAGUUUAUUAAACAUCUAUAAAAAAGUAAAAUUUGUAUAUAGAUAGCUAAUCUAGAAGUAACUAUAACAAUGCUGAAGCUGUGAUAAUCUUGAGGGAAACUGGGAUUAGAUACCCCAUUAUUCUUGAUUGUAAAUAGAAUAGAAAUUUACCAGAGUACUAUGAAUAGUUAAAAAUUUAAAACUCAAAGGGCUUGGCGGUGUUUUAGACCUAUCAGGGGAACCUGUCUCGUAAUCGACAAUCCACGUUAUAUCUAACCUUUUUUUGUAUUCAGUCUGUAUACCGUCGUCGUCAGGUAACUUUUAAAAAUAUAGAAGUUAGCGAUAAAAACUAUGUAAAUUAAGACGUCAGAUCAAGGUGCAGCCUAUAAAAAGGAGAGGAUGGGUUACAAUUAUAAAAUUUAUAAUCACGGACAUUUAAAUGAAAUUAUAUUUAGAAGGAGGACUUGAAAGUAAACUAAAAUAUAUAAAUAGCUUGAAUAAGGCUCUG